GGAAGGAUCAUUACAAAUGACCAGGUGGCAGAUACUUUUGUCUGCAGCCAUCGCGGUCGAUCAACUGUUGCCGUAGUCAUGUUCCGGCAUGGCUUCGUGUCCACCCAAUGUGAAUCUUUAUACCUUGCUUCGGCAGCGCUCAGCGAUUAAACCCCGCGGAGGUAAGGCUGUCGAUAGCACAUAACAUAACUAGUUUAUUAAAUUUCAUGCUGUCUGAAGCCUUUUGAGAAAUCAAAUUACAAGUUAAAACUUUCAGCAACGGAUCUCUUGGUUCUCGCAUCGAUGAAGAACGCAGCGAAACGCGAUAGGUAAUGUGAAUUGCAGAAUUCCGUGAAUCAUUGAAUCUUUGAACGCACAUUGCGCCUUCUGGUAUUCCGGGAGGCAUGCCUGUUUGAGCGUCAGCAAAAAACCCUUCAGCAAAUUAUUUUACUAUAGUUUGUUAGGUAUUGAGCUUGGAGGAAACGGACCUCACCGUCCUGCUCCUGCUUUAAACUUGCUGCACGACCGCAAGCUAUUGCUAGGUCUAUGGAAGUGGUGUUUACAUAUAUUUUCCAGUACGAUCAGGCUAGUUUUGUGGCGUUAAAUCAAUGUUGCCCUCUAAAGCAACUGAAGUUUGACCUCAAAUCAGACAAGGAUACCCGCUGAACUUAAGCAUAUCAAUAAGCGGAGGAAAAGAAACCAACAGGGAUUGCCUCAGUAACGGCGAGUGAAGCGGCAAGAGCUCAGAUUUGAAAUCUGGUACUUUCAGUGCCCGAGUUGUAAUCUGCAGAGAGUACUUCGGCUUAGGCUCCGGUCAAGGUCCCUUGGAACAGGGCGACAUAGAGGGUGAGAACCCCGUACCCGGCCGUUUGCCAAUGCCGUGUGAAGUCUCUUCGACGAGUCGAGUUGUUUGGGAAUGCAGCUCUAAACGGGUGGUAAAUUCCAUCUAAAGCUAAAUAUCUGCGAGAGACCGAUAGCGCACAAGUAGAGUGAUCGAAAGAUGAAAAGCACUUUGAAAAGAGAGUUAAAUAGUACGUGAAAUUGUUGAAAGGGAAGCGCUUGCCAUCAGAAUUGGGGUAGGUUGAUCAGCGUUCCUUCUGGUUCGUGCACUCAGCCUGCAUCCAUGCCAGCACCAGUUGCGGCGGCAGGAUAAAGGUGGUGGGAAUGUGGCUCUCUUCGGGGAGUGUUAUAGCCCAUCACGUCAUGCUGCCAGCCGCGACUGAGGACCGCGCCCUAGGCAAGGGUGCUGGCUUAACGGUUGUAAGCGACCCGUCUUGAAACACGGACCAAGGAGUCUAACAUCUAUGCGAGUGUUUGGGUGAUCAAGCCCAUACGCGAAAUGAAAGUGAACGGAGGUGAGAGCCCGCAAGGGUGCAUCAUCGACCGAUCCUGAUGUCUUCGGAUGGAUUUGAGUAGGAGCAUAGCUGUUGGGACCCGAAAGAUGGUGAACUAUGCCUGAAUAGGGUGAAGCCAGAGGAAACUCUGGUGGAGGCUCGCAGCGGUUCUGACGUGCAAAUCGAUCGUCAAAUUUGGGUAUAGGGGCGAAAGACUAAUCGAACCAUCUAGUAGCUGGUUCCUGC
This 1559-nucleotide unclassified non-coding RNA is filed under the name uncultured fungus. RNAcentral's name for it is "sequence contains 18S rRNA gene, ITS1, 5.8S rRNA gene, ITS2, 28S rRNA gene". The stretch from base 615 to 1559 matches the Rfam family "Eukaryotic large subunit ribosomal RNA", at positions 1 to 961 of the family's 3401-position model. The record is from RNAcentral. Lineage: Eukaryota; Fungi.